This 457-nucleotide ribosomal RNA is filed under the name uncultured Leptolinea sp. RNAcentral's name for it is "bacterial SSU rRNA". It matches the Rfam family "Bacterial small subunit ribosomal RNA", at positions 916 to 1381 of the family's 1533-position model. The record is from RNAcentral. Lineage: Bacteria; Bacillati; Chloroflexota; Anaerolineae; Anaerolineales; Anaerolineaceae.
GACGGGCCCCGCACAAGCAGCGGAGCGUGUGGUUUAAUUCGAUGCUACACGAAGAACCUUUACCAGGGUUUGACAUGCUAGUGGUAGGAAACCGAAAGGUGACCGACCCUUCGGGGAGCUAGCACAGGUGCUGCAUGGCUGUCGUCAGCUCGUGUCGUGAGAUGUUCGGUUAAGUCCGCUAACGAGCGCAACCCUCGCUGUGUGUUAUAUGUGUCACAUGGGACUGCCGGCCUUAAGCCGGAGGAAGGUGGGGAUGAUGUCAAGUCAGCAUGGCCUUUAUGUCCUGGGCUACACACACGCUACAAUGGUCAGCACAAUGGGUCGCUAAGCCGCAAGGUGGAGCCAAUCCUCAAAGUUGGCCUCAGUUCAGAUUGUAGGCUGCAACUCGCCUGCAUGAAGAUGGAGUUGCUAGUAAACGCAGGUCAGCUAUACUGCGUUGAAUACGUUCCCGGGGCUU